AUAAACCGUUUGGAUCGGUUUUGGAAUUUUUGAUCGUUUCCGAGUUCCCCG
RNAcentral lists this small RNA (51 nucleotides) under Escherichia coli. Its description in RNAcentral is "RNA34_SPACER4". The record is from RNAcentral. Lineage: Bacteria; Pseudomonadati; Pseudomonadota; Gammaproteobacteria; Enterobacterales; Enterobacteriaceae.